GGAAUAAAACUCUGGAUAUAAACCCUCCGACAGAACCCAUCUCCUUUUCCUCUUCACCCUCGCCGGAAGCCUUCCUACCUAAGGAACAAGCAAUCUUUUCACACAAGCAGAUGUAUUUCUGGUAAUGAGAGGACAUAUUUGCCAUCAAAUCAGUUACAGUGCAGUUCCUCCUCCUGAAAAGGUGGGAGGACCUUGCAACUUCACUACCCAGGCAUCAAGAAAAUGCUGAAGCAUGCCAGAAGAAUCAGGAGGACAGAAUAUAAAGGAAAGCCUCUGGAAUUAAACCACAGCCUCACUUGACAAAAACAACAUUUUCCAAAAAGCAACUGAUGAUGUGAGGGAAAUAGAGAGAUUUGG
Zonotrichia albicollis (white-throated sparrow) is the source of this 357-nucleotide long non-coding RNA. RefSeq lists it as uncharacterized. Lineage: Eukaryota; Metazoa; Chordata; Aves; Passeriformes; Passerellidae. The record is from RefSeq and is a predicted model, not a curated record.